GACGGAGGAUGCAAGCGUUAUCCGGAAUGAUUGGGCGUAAAGCGUCCGCAGGUGGCAGUUCAAGUCUGCUGUCAAAGACCGGGGCUUAACUUCGGAAAGGCAGUGGAAACUGAACAGCUAGAGUAUGGUAGGGGCAGAGGGAAUUCCUGGUGUAGCGGUGAAAUGCGUAGAGAUCAGGAAGAACAUCGGUGGCGAAGGCGCUCUGCUGGACCAUAACUGACACUCAGGGACGAAAGCUAGGGGAGCGAAU
Molecule: ribosomal RNA, 250 nt
Filed under: uncultured cyanobacterium
Lineage: Bacteria; Bacillati; Cyanobacteriota
Also listed under: 1 other name
Description: partial 16S ribosomal RNA
Rfam family: Bacterial small subunit ribosomal RNA
Source: RNAcentral